Molecule: ribosomal RNA, 237 nt
Filed under: uncultured bacterium
Lineage: Bacteria
Description: partial 16S ribosomal RNA
Rfam family: Bacterial small subunit ribosomal RNA
Source: RNAcentral
AGUAAUCUGCCGUUGGAGUGGGGAAUAACGGCUGGAAACAGCCGCUAAUACCGCAUGAAACAGUUGGGAGGCAUCUCUCUGACUGUCAAAGAUUUAUCGCUCUGAGAUGAGCUCGCGUCUGAUUAGCUAGUUGGCGGGGCAACGGCCCACCAAGGCGACGAUCAGUAGCCGGACUGAGAGGUUGGCCGGCCCACAUUGGGACUGAGACACGGCCCAGACUCCUACGGAAGGCAGCAG